AACGAACGCUGGCGGCAGGCUUAACACAUGCAAGUCGAACGGGUGUAGCAAUACAUCAGUGGCAGACGGGUGAGUAACACGUGGGAACCUUCCUAGGGGUAUGGAACAACUCAGGGAGACUUGAGCUAAUACCGUAUACGUCCGUGAGGAGAAAGAUUUAUCGCCCUUAGACGGGCCCGCGUCGGAUUAGCUAGUUGGUGGGGUAACGGCCUACCAAGGCGACGAUCCGUAGCUGAUCUUAGAGGAUGAUCAGCCACACUGGGACUGAGACACGGCCCAGACUCCUACGGGAGGCAGCAGUGGGGAAUCUUGGACAAUGGGCGCAAGCCUGAUCCAGCCAUGCCGCGUGAGUGAAGAAGGUCUUCGGAUUGUAAAGCUCUUUUGCCAGGGACGAUAAUGACGGUACCUGGAGAAUAAGCCCCGGCAAACUUCGUGCCAGCAGCCGCCGCAG
Molecule: ribosomal RNA, 451 nt
Filed under: uncultured bacterium
Lineage: Bacteria
Description: partial 16S ribosomal RNA
Rfam family: Bacterial small subunit ribosomal RNA
Source: RNAcentral